Molecule: unclassified non-coding RNA, 223 nt
Filed under: Hevea brasiliensis (rubber tree)
Lineage: Eukaryota; Viridiplantae; Streptophyta; Magnoliopsida; Malpighiales; Euphorbiaceae
Source: RNAcentral
GGAAAACCAACAUGCGGGAAGCCAAAGAUAACCGGGCAAACUUAAAAUUAAAAUAAAAAAAAAAGUAAGGGCAAAGAGGAACUUUUAGUAUUCUUAAGAACAGUAAAAGUUGGCCUUCUUUUAGUAUAGCAUAAUAAUAAAAACACAUAAAAUUUUAGUUCUUACAAAUAAGUUGAUACUAACAAGAAUAUCAAAAUAAACUAUUUUCAUAAAAUGGUUUGAC